AUUUAAGCACCAAAAUAAAAAAAAUAAAAAAUUUAAUGCAUAUUUUUUUCAAUUUUUUAGGUAAAAAUUAGAGCAAAAAUAGAGCCAAAAUAACUUUAAAAAAUCUUAAAAAUAGCCUCCGAUGCAUGGUGGACAAGUCGGUCGGUCCACGAAAUCAAGGCGUGGUCCACCAAAGAUCUCAUGCGGUCUACAGGCACGGUUCACAGGUGGGCGGAAGCUAUUUCGCAUAAUCAGACGGCCAAAAUGCAACCUGAUCCAGAUCUGAUGGUCAGCUUCUGUUGUCAAAUUAUAAGAGGAGAUUUUGCACGAUCAGAUAGUCGAAAACUCAUCCAUCAAGAGAUCCAACAAUCCAGAUU
Molecule: long non-coding RNA, 356 nt
Filed under: Elaeis guineensis (African oil palm)
Lineage: Eukaryota; Viridiplantae; Streptophyta; Magnoliopsida; Arecales; Arecaceae
Description: long non-coding RNA (EGUI_LNC082442)
Source: RNAcentral